AGAGUUUGAUCCUGGCUCAGGACGAACGCUGGCGGCGUGCUUAACACAUGCAAGUCGAACGGUGAACCCUUGACGGAGACUUCGGUCAACUGAUUGGGGAAUCAGUGGCGGACGGGUGAGUAACGCGUGAGUAACCUGCCUCUCAGUGGGGAAUAACAUUUGGAAACGAAUGGUAAUACCGCAUAACAUUACGUAAUCGCAUGGUUGUGUAAUCAAAGAUUUAUCGCUGAGAGAUGGACUCGCGUCCGAUUAGCUAGAUGGUGAGGUAACGGCCCACCAUGGCGACGAUCGGUAGCCGGACUGAGAGGUUGAACGGCCACAUUGGGACUGAGACACGGCCCAGACUCCUACGGGAGGCAGCAGCGGGGAAUAUUGCACAAUGGGGGAAACCCUGAUGCAGCAACGCCGCGUGAAGGAAGACGGUCUUCGGAUUGUAAACUUUUGUUCUUAGUGAAGAUAAUGACGGUAGCUAAGGAGCAAGCCACGGCUAACUACGUGCCAGCAGCCGCGGUAAUACGUAGGUGGCAAGCGUUGUCCGGAAUUACUGGGUGUAAAGGGAGCGCAGGCGGGAAAUCAAGUUGGAUGUGAAAUGUCGGGGCUUAACCCCGGAACUGCAUCCAAAACUGAUUUUCUUGAGUGAAGUAGAGGUAGGCGGAAUUCCGAGUGUAGCGGUGAAAUGCGUAGAUAUUCGGAGGAACACCAGUGGCGAAGGCGGCCUACUGGGCUUUAACUGACGCUGAGGCUCGAAAGUGUGGGGAGCAAACAGGAUUAGAUACCCUGGUAGUCCACACUGUAAACGAUGAUUGCUAGGUGUGGGGGGUCUGACCCCCUCCGUGCCGGAGUUAACGCAAUAAGCAAUCCACCUGGGGAGUACGGCCGCAAGGUUGAAACUCAAAGGAAUUGACGGGGGCCUGCACAAGCAGUGGAUUAUGUGGUUUAAUUCGAUGAUACGCGAGGAACCUUACCCGGGCUCGAACGGCUGGUGAAGAGAGACAGAGAUGUUGACGUCCUUCGGGACACCAGUCGAGGUGCUGCAUGGUUGUCGUCAGCUCGUGUCGUGAGAUGUUGGCUCAAGUGCCAUAACGAGCGCAACCCUUGCUGCCAGUUACCAGCGCGUGAUGGCGGGGACUCUGGCAGGACUGCCACCGUAAGGUGUGAGGAAGGCGGGGAUGACGUCAAAUCAGCACGGCCCUUACGUCCGGGGCGACACACGUGUUACAAUGACAGCUACAGAGGGAAGCUACCUGGCGACAGGAUGCAGAUCUUGAAAAGCUGCCUCAGUUCGGACUGGAGUCUGCAACCCGACUCCACGAAGCUGGAUUCGCUAGUAAUCGCGCAUCAGCCAUGGCGCGGUGAAUACGUUCCCGGGCCUUGCACACACCGCCCGUCA
This 1390-nucleotide ribosomal RNA is filed under the name uncultured bacterium. Its description in RNAcentral is "bacterial SSU rRNA". It matches the Rfam family "Bacterial small subunit ribosomal RNA". The record is from RNAcentral.